GCGACCCCAGGUCAGGCGGGACUACCCGCUGAAUUUAAGCAUAUCAAUAAGCGGAGGAAAAGAAACUAACAAGGAUUCCCCUAGUAACGGCGAGCGAACCGGGAAGAGCC
Molecule: ribosomal RNA, 110 nt
Filed under: Vasconcellea candicans
Lineage: Eukaryota; Viridiplantae; Streptophyta; Magnoliopsida; Brassicales; Caricaceae
Description: partial 28S ribosomal RNA
Rfam family: Eukaryotic large subunit ribosomal RNA
Source: RNAcentral